Molecule: ribosomal RNA, 484 nt
Filed under: uncultured bacterium
Lineage: Bacteria
Description: partial 16S ribosomal RNA
Rfam family: Bacterial small subunit ribosomal RNA
Source: RNAcentral
AUUGAACGCUGGCGGCAGGCCUAACACAUGCAAGUCGAGCGGAUGAAGGGAGCUUGCUCCUGGAUUCAGCGGCGGACGGGUGAGUAAUGCCUAGGAAUCUGCCUGGUAUUUGGGGAUAACGUCCCGAAACGGGCGCUAAUACCGCAUACGUCCUGAUGUAGAAAGUGGAGGAUCUUCGGACCUCACGCUAUCAGAUGAGCCUAGGUCGGAUUAGCUAGUUGGUGUGGUAAAGGCUUACCAAGGCGACGAUCCGUAACUGGUCUGAGAGGAUGAUCAGUCACACUGGAACUGAGACACGGUCCAGACUCCUACGGGAGGCAGCAGUGGGGAAUAUUGGACAAUGGGCGAAAGCCUGAUGCAGCAAUGCCGCGUGUGUGAAGAAGGUCUUCGGAUUGUAAAGCACUUUAAGUUGGGAGGAAGGGCAGUAAGUUAAUACCUUGCUGUUUUGACGGUACCAACAGAAUAAGCACCGGCUAACUUCGUG